RNAcentral lists this ribosomal RNA (502 nucleotides) under Coniochaeta savoryi. RNAcentral's name for it is "LSU rRNA". It matches the Rfam family "Eukaryotic large subunit ribosomal RNA", at positions 94 to 608 of the family's 3401-position model. Lineage: Eukaryota; Fungi; Ascomycota; Sordariomycetes; Coniochaetales; Coniochaetaceae. The record is from RNAcentral.
UGAAGCGGCAACAGCUCAAAUUUGAAAUCUGGCUUCGGCCCGAGUUGUAAUUUGUAGAGGAUGCUUUUGGUGAGGUGCCUUCUGAGUUCCCUGGAACGGGACGCCAGAGAGGGUGAGAGCCCCGUAUAGUUGGACACCGAGCCUCUGUAAAGCUCCUUCGACGAGUCGAGUAGUUUGGGAAUGCUGCUCAAAAUGGGAGGUAUAUCUCUUCUAAAGCUAAAUACUGGCCAGAGACCGAUAGCGCACAAGUAGAGUGAUCGAAAGAUGAAAAGCACUUUGAAAAGAGGGUUAAAUAGUACGUGAAAUUGUUGAAAGGGAAGCGCUUGUGACCAGACUUGUGCCGGGCUGAUCAUCCAGUGUUCUCACUGGUGCACUCUGCCCGGCUCAGGCCAGCGUCGGUUUUCGCAGGGGGACAAAAGCUUCGGGAACGUAGCUCCUCUCGGGGAGUGUUAUAGCCCGUUGCUCAAUACCCUUGUGGGGACCGAGGUUCGCGCUCUGCAAG